Molecule: long non-coding RNA, 516 nt
Filed under: Capsella rubella
Lineage: Eukaryota; Viridiplantae; Streptophyta; Magnoliopsida; Brassicales; Brassicaceae
Description: long non-coding RNA (CRUB_LNC002953)
Source: RNAcentral
UUACUCAAAGAAACUUAAUGAUGCACAUGAAUAAGUAGUGUACUUAUAUUGGAUUCCGGUAUGAUUCAAAAUUACAUCGUGCCGUAAAAAACCAGUUUCUUCUAAUCGAGCUUAAACAUUUAAUUACUCAAAAUUAUCAUCAGGUUGAGAUUAGGACUUUUAAGGGGAUUAAAAAAAUUAGAAAAGAAUUAGAAAAGUUUUGGGGCAGUUUUAGGAUUAAAAAAUAAAAAGGGGUUGAAAUUAGAAUCAUGCAAAAAGCUGAAGUUUACAAAGGCAUUUGGACAAGAGAGUCAAUGCCAAUCAUAACUAUCAAAACCAAAAACCACAAAAAGUGUUUUUUACUUUAAAGUGUUCACUUUUUUUUUUUUUUUUUGGCUCAUCACAUGUUUGGUAUUGUAACACGCGCCUAUGACCAUAUACACCAAAUUCGUUAUAUAUAUAUCCACAAGUGAUUAACUUUUUUUUUUGCAAAAUACUACAAAACCAAUGAAUUUAAUAUAAUGUAUUCAUUUCUAG